AGUGAACGCUGGCGGUAGGCCUAACACAUGCAAGUCGAACGGCAGCACAGUAAGAGCUUGCUCUUACGGGUGGCGAGUGGCGGACGGGUGAGGAAUACAUCGGAAUCUACUUUUUCGUGGGGGAUAACGUAGGGAAACUUACGCUAAUACCGCAUACGACCUACGGGUGAAAGCAGGGGAUCUUCGGACCUUGCGCGAUUGAAUGAGCCGAUGUCGGAUUAGCUAGUUGGCGGGGUAAAGGCCCACCAAGGCGACGAUCCGUAGCUGGUCUGAGAGGAUGAUCAGCCACACGGGAACUGAGACACGGUCCAGACUCCUACGGGAGGCAGCAGUGGGGAAUAUUGGACAAUGGGCGCAAGCCUGAUCCAGCCAUACCGCGUGGGUGAAGAAGGCCUUCGGGUUGUAAAGCCCUUUUGUUGGGAAAGAAAGGCAGCAGGUUAAUACGCCGCUGUGCUGACGGUACCCAGAGAAUAAGCACCGGCUAACUUCGUG
Molecule: ribosomal RNA, 492 nt
Filed under: uncultured bacterium
Lineage: Bacteria
Description: partial 16S ribosomal RNA
Rfam family: Bacterial small subunit ribosomal RNA
Source: RNAcentral